RNAcentral lists this ribosomal RNA (471 nucleotides) under uncultured bacterium. RNAcentral's name for it is "bacterial SSU rRNA". It matches the Rfam family "Bacterial small subunit ribosomal RNA", at positions 40 to 507 of the family's 1533-position model. The record is from RNAcentral.
CGGCAUGCCUUACACAUGCAAGUCGAACGGCAGCACGGGAGCAAUCCUGGUGGCGAGUGGCGAACGGGUGAGUAAUAUAUCGGAACGUGCCCAGUCGUGGGGGAUAACGUAGCGAAAGCUACGCUAAUACCGCAUACGAUCUAUGGAUGAAAGCGGGGGAUCGCAAGACCUCGCGCGAUUGGAGCGGCCGAUAUCAGAUUAGGCAGUUGGUGAGGUAAAGGCUCACCAAGCCGACGAUCUGUAGCUGGUCUGAGAGGACGACCAGCCACACUGGGACUGAGACACGGCCCAGACUCCUACGGGAGGCAGCAGUGGGGAAUUUUGGACAAUGGGCGCAAGCCUGAUCCAGCAAUGCCGCGUGCAGGAUGAAGGCCUUCGGGUUGUAAACUGCUUUGUACGGAACGAAACGGUGAGCUCUAAUACAGUUUGCUAAUGACGGUACCGUAAGAAUAAGCACCGGCUAACUACGUG